UACGAAGGGGGCUAGCGUUGCUCGGAAUCACUGGGCGUAAAGGGUGCGUAGGCGGGUUUUUAAGUCAGGGGUGAAAUCCUGGAGCUCAACUCCAGAACUGCCUUUGAUACUGAAGAGCUUGAGUUCGGGAGAGGUGAGUGGAACUGCGAGUGUAGAGGUGAAAUUCGUAGAUAUUCGCAAGAACACCAGUGGCGAAGGCGGCUCACUGGCCCGAUACUGACGCUGAGGCACGAAAGCGUGGGGAGCAAACAGG
Molecule: ribosomal RNA, 253 nt
Filed under: uncultured bacterium
Lineage: Bacteria
Description: partial 16S ribosomal RNA
Rfam family: Bacterial small subunit ribosomal RNA
Source: RNAcentral